This 497-nucleotide ribosomal RNA is filed under the name uncultured bacterium. RNAcentral describes it as "partial 16S ribosomal RNA". It matches the Rfam family "Bacterial small subunit ribosomal RNA", at positions 28 to 507 of the family's 1533-position model. The record is from RNAcentral.
GAUGAACGCUGGCGGCGUGCCUAAUACAUGCAAGUCGAGCGAACGGACGAGGCGCUUGCUUUUCUGAUGUUUGCGGCGGACGGGUGUGUAACACGUGGAUAACCCACCUAUCAGUCUGGGAUAACUUCGGGAAACCGGAGCUAACACCGGAUAAUAUUCUGAACCGCAUGGUUCAAUAGUGAAUGACGGUCUUUCUGGCACUACUCGAUGGAUCCGCGCUGGAUUAGCUAGUUGGUAGGGUAACGGCCUACCAAGGCAAGGAUGCAUGACCGACCUGAGAGAGGGAUCGGCGGCAUGGGAACGGAGACACGGUCCAGACUACUACGGGAGGGAGCAGUAGGGAAUCGUCGGCAGUGGUCGAAAGCCUGACGGAGCAACGCCGCGUGUGAGAUGGAGGUCUUCGGAUCGUAAUACUCUGUUAUGAGUGGAGAACAGAUGUGGAAGGAGCUGUACACAUCUUGACGGUACCGGAUAAGGAAGCAACGGCUAACUACGUG